Molecule: ribosomal RNA, 430 nt
Filed under: Pseudomonadota bacterium
Lineage: Bacteria; Pseudomonadati; Pseudomonadota
Description: Proteobacteria bacterium partial 16S ribosomal RNA
Rfam family: Bacterial small subunit ribosomal RNA
Source: RNAcentral
UGGGGAAUAUUGGACAAUGGGGGGAACCCUGAUCCAGCCAUGCCGCGUGUGUGAAGAAGGCCUUAUGGUUGUAAAGCACUUUAAGCGAGGAGGAGGGUACUGGUAUUAAUACUACCAGGUACUGGACGUUACUCGCAGAAUAAGCACCGGCUAACUCUGUGCCAGCAGCCGCGGUAAUACAGAGGGUGCGCGCGUUAAUCGGAUUUACUGGGCGUAAAGCGUGCGUAGGCGGCUAAUUGAGUCGGAUGUGAAAUCCCCGAGCUUAACUUGGGAAUUGCAGUCGAUACUGGUUAGCUAGAGUGUGGGAGAGGAUGGUAGAAUUCCAGGUGUAGCGGUGAAAUGCGUAGAGAUCUGGAGGAAUACCGAUGGCGAAGGCAGCCAUCUGGCCUAACACUGACGCUGAGGUACGAAAGCAUGGGGAGCAAACAGG